AGUCAGUAACAGGGAGGAGCAAGAAGAGAAAAAUUCUGCAAUUCAACCCAUUAAACUGAACUGCUUGCAACGAACGACUAUACUCCUUUACGGGAAAGAUAGUAUAGACACAACGUAUCAAACUACUACAGCUGAUGUCUUCUACUUGUCACGAGGUCCUCACUGCAGGAAAAUACACAAAUCAAAGCCUCCUCGUGUUGUCCAAAAACUGGCGGUCAGCAGCCAUCCAAGUGCCAUUAUAGGACCUCUACUGCUUUCCACUUCAAAGCUCAAUCCGCAAUUAAAGCAAUCACAUCACGCGGUAUUUAAGAAAAAAAUUAACCCAACGAUGAACUUAAUUCCCAAGCCAUUUUGCAAUUACACUGCUGAAACAAGUCCAAAACUCAUCACGACAGCUACUAGCAGAGCACGAUCCUCUGGAUGACAGAAAAUGCAGACUUGGCAAUAUCUAUUGACACCUAUCCAAAAAGUCCCAGAACACAAAGGAAACCAAGAAGCUCAUUGCUGAUCAACAGAAUCGACAACUUUGUUGAUGCACACAUAUGACCAAUUCCAGCCAUCAUUUACACCUGCCACCUGAAUUUCCAUAAUCAAGCUAAGCUCUUGAGGCUCAUUAACAAAACCAACUCCAUUGUCUAUGAAAAAGAAGGAAAGGACGAACGAAAGAGAGAAAGAAAAAAAGAAUUGAGCGAAUUCUAGCUGCGAUAUCAGCAAAUUGGAAACACACCCACCACAAACUAACAAAAUCUAACCCAAAAAAGGGAGGAAACAGAGAGCACAAACAGAUGGGUGAUGAAAAGUCAAAGCAAGAAAAGGAAAAGGAAAAAGAAAAAGAAAAUCAAGAACCUCCGGAAGGCCGUCUUCCAAGAGCAAAAUCUCCUCUUCCUGGGAACCCAUCUCUCCUUUGUUCUUCCAACGCAGUCAAGAGUAUUAAAAUGAGGGAACGCGCACGGAAGCGAUCGACAAGGAAGGGACGGCUAGACGCUUGGACGGGACGACAUAAAACAGACGAAUGGAAUAUGGGCAAAGGAAAGGAUUCCACACUUCCCUGACGCGGCCCAGGUGGUCAGCGACCGAAUUAUCAGCGAAUCGGAAUGGCAGAGUUGACCCGUCAAGUUGGUGCGCGAGAGGCGAAGAAGGGAGGAACUGGGGAGGGAAGAGCAAGAACGUUACUUGGGGAUCGGCUGAGUCUCUGUAAUGGAUCGAAAGUGGAGAAGGAGGCCGCCCCGCGGUUGUUCAAGAUCGGAUUUUUAUUUUCUGAUGACUUCGUGGGUAUUCCCGAG
Molecule: long non-coding RNA, 1283 nt
Filed under: Eucalyptus grandis
Lineage: Eukaryota; Viridiplantae; Streptophyta; Magnoliopsida; Myrtales; Myrtaceae
Description: long non-coding RNA (EGRA_LNC004353)
Source: RNAcentral